This 523-nucleotide long non-coding RNA is filed under the name Populus tremula. Its description in RNAcentral is "long non-coding RNA (PTRE_LNC001672)". Lineage: Eukaryota; Viridiplantae; Streptophyta; Magnoliopsida; Malpighiales; Salicaceae. The record is from RNAcentral.
UGGUCUUGAAGAAUGGGUGGUACCAGGUGGAGAAGGUGAUCAAGUAUUUCCUUGUCUUGAAAGGUUGUGCAUUGAGGGGUGUGGCAAGUUGAGGCAACUCCCAGCACUUGGAUGUCUUCCUCACCUUCAGAUUCUACAGAUAAAAGGAAUGGGUACUGUACAAUGUAUAGGCAAUGAGUUCUAUAGCAGCAGCAGUGGCAGUGCAGCAGUACUGUUUCCAGCACUAAAAGAACUCACUUUGAAGUAUAUGGAUGGUCUUGAAGAAUGGGUGGUACCAGGUGGAGAAGGUGAUCGAGUAUUUCCUUGUCUUGAAAGGUUGAGCAUUCUUAAGUGUGGCAAGUUGAGGCAACUCCCAGCACUUGGAUGUCUUCCUCGCCUUCAGAUUCUACAGAUAAAUGGAAUGGGUACUGUACAAUGUAUAGGCAAGGAGUUCUAUAGCAGCAGCAGUGGCAGUGCAGCAGUACUGUUUCCAGCACUAAAAGAACUCACUUUGGAGGAUAUGGAUGGUCUUGAAGAAUGGGUG